Oncorhynchus tshawytscha (Chinook salmon) is the source of this 731-nucleotide long non-coding RNA. Lineage: Eukaryota; Metazoa; Chordata; Actinopteri; Salmoniformes; Salmonidae. The record is from Ensembl.
CUGAAAUGCAUGACAACCAUGCCGAUUUGAGUUGAGCAAGACUCACGUUUAACUGAGUCACCUCUGUAAAACCUUAUAGUUAAGAUGGGGCAGCUAGCUAGCUGAGUGAAUUUCAAAACGGAUUGGUUUGUUGUUCUGACAACGACAGACUAUACCUGUUGUCCUCGGCGCAUGUGACAAAUAAACUGUGAUUUGACAGACAGGCGCGGCCCUGUUGCGACAGGGAGGUACUGUGGUCCACAGGUCCUGUAGCGAUGCUGUGGGACCUUGAUCAACAACAACAAAUACUAAUUUGGCAAUGCCCUAAAACAAUACAAGCUGUAACGUUAGUAGGUCAAUUAAUUCACACUAGCUAGCUAGUAUAAUAAUAACAAGAUUUAUUUAGUUCACCAGUUUUCUAUAUCAUUCUGAUUCAGUAGCUACGGACUAUUUCGACCAAAUAAAUGAUGAUUUGUCUGUAAAGCUCGUGGAUCACAGAUAAUAUAACUAGGUAACUCACUGUCUGUCUGUCUGAUAAUAUAACUAGGUAACUGACUGUCUGUCUGAUAAUAUAACUAGGUAACUCACUGUCUGUCUGUCUGUCUGAUAAUAUAACUAGGUAACUCACUGUAUGUCUGUCUGAUAAUAUAACUAGGUAACUCACUGUCUGUCUGUCUGUCUGAUAAUAUAACUAGGUAACUCACUGUCUGUCUGUCUGAUAAUAUAACUAGGUAACUCACUGUAUGUCUGUC